GACGAACGCUGGCGGCGUGCUUAACACAUGCAAGUCGAACGGAAAGGCCCUGCUUUUGUGGGGUGCUCGAGUGGCGAACGGGGGAGUAACACGUGAGUAACCUGCCCUUGACUUUGGGGUAACUUCAGGAAACUGGGGCUAAUACCGUAUAGGAGCUCCUGCUGCAUGGUGGGGGUUGGAAAGUUUCGGCGGGUGGGGAUGGACUCGCGGCUUAUCAGCUUGUUGGUGGGGUAGUGGCUUACCAAGGCUUUGACGGGUAGCCGGCCUGAGAGGGUGACCGGGCACAUUGGGACUGAGAUACGGCCCAGACUCCUACGGGAGGCAGCAGUGGGGAAUAUUGCACAAUGGGCGGAAGCCUGAUGCAGCAACGCCGCGUGCGGGAUGACGGCCUUCGGGUUGUAAACAGCUUUCGCCUGUGACGAAGCGUGAGUGACGGUAAUGGGUAAAGAAGCACCGGCUAACUACGUG
RNAcentral lists this ribosomal RNA (468 nucleotides) under uncultured bacterium. Its description in RNAcentral is "partial 16S ribosomal RNA". It matches the Rfam family "Bacterial small subunit ribosomal RNA", at positions 28 to 507 of the family's 1533-position model. The record is from RNAcentral.